Molecule: unclassified non-coding RNA, 201 nt
Filed under: Hevea brasiliensis (rubber tree)
Lineage: Eukaryota; Viridiplantae; Streptophyta; Magnoliopsida; Malpighiales; Euphorbiaceae
Source: RNAcentral
AUACAGAAAAUCUAACAGGUGUGUGCAUAUGCUGGAGUACUAUUCUCUUUCCUUUUCCUGUAGUUAUGCACAUGCUUGAAUCCUGCGUGUGCGUGCAUAUUUGGAGUCAGUCUCCAGCUUAAGCUAAUUGAAAGAAGUGAUUUAUGAGACGAAUUAUGUUAAAAAAAUAAAAUUCAAGGACCAAAAUUAUAAUUUGGAUCA